GGGGUUGUGGCUUAGCGGUAGAGCGCUUGCCUAGCAUGUGCAAGGCCCUGGGUUCCAUUCCCAGCACCA
RNAcentral lists this transfer RNA (69 nucleotides) under Ictidomys tridecemlineatus (thirteen-lined ground squirrel). Its description in RNAcentral is "Spermophilus tridecemlineatus (thirteen-lined ground squirrel) tRNA". It matches the Rfam family "tRNA". Rfam says of the family: Transfer RNA (tRNA) molecules are approximately 80 nucleotides in length. Their secondary structure includes four short double-helical elements and three loops (D, anti-codon, and T loops). Further hydrogen bonds mediate the characteristic L-shaped molecular structure. tRNAs have two regions of fundamental functional importance: the anti-codon, which is responsible for specific mRNA codon recognition, and the 3' end, to which the tRNAs corresponding amino acid is attached (by aminoacyl-tRNA synthetases). tRNAs cope with the degeneracy of the genetic code in two manners: having more than one tRNA (with a specific anti-codon) for a particular amino acid; and 'wobble' base-pairing, i.e. permitting non-standard base-pairing at the 3rd anti-codon position. The record is from Rfam by way of RNAcentral. Lineage: Eukaryota; Metazoa; Chordata; Mammalia; Rodentia; Sciuridae.